Long non-coding RNA from Gossypium arboreum, 297 nucleotides. RefSeq lists it as uncharacterized. The transcript has 3 exons. The record is from RefSeq and is a predicted model, not a curated record. NCBI's taxonomy places the organism in Eukaryota, Viridiplantae, Streptophyta, Magnoliopsida, Malvales, Malvaceae.
AAACGUUUCAACUUCAACCCGUAACAGUUGGAUUCACAACGGAUAUGGGGUAGGAAGGUAUUUGGAACGUUCUUCAACGAGUAGAUCUCUUGGUGAGCCUUGAUGUGGGGACUUGGGCCGGAGGGGAUUCAGAGUGGCCACGGUGAUUGUCUUUGGACUUUUAAAUAAGUGUUGGUUUUCAUUUAAUUUCCUUUAAUUAUUAUUUAUUUUUGGGUUGUAAUAAGGCCAAUUUUAACUUUCCUUUUAUUUCUUUUCGGAAUUAUUUUAAUUUUAAUAACUUUAAAAAUUGGUUAAUAA